Eupeodes corollae is the source of this 892-nucleotide long non-coding RNA. RefSeq lists it as uncharacterized. Lineage: Eukaryota; Metazoa; Arthropoda; Insecta; Diptera; Syrphidae. The record is from RefSeq and is a predicted model, not a curated record. The transcript is spliced from 2 exons.
CUAUCUAUAUAGUGUAUUUGACGUUUAAAAUAAAUCUUAUUAUUUGAUUUGUUUUUCGAAUACGAUCGUAGAAUUGAACUGAGAUAAUUUUGUGUUGAUAUAAAACUGUGGAUCGUGACAUAAAUUUUUAGUUCGUCUAAUGUGUUCAUUUUUGUAUUACUAGUUUAUUUAGCAUUGUACUCCAAUAUUUGCAUAGGUUGCUUAAUAGUUUACUAAAAAUGUUCCGUGAUCGAAUUGAAAAACUUAGUCAUCUUAUUGAGCUCUAUCACAGAAGUUCUACUACAGUUGAUGAAGUGAAAGAAAAACUACAUGAACCCAACUUUAAAGAAAAAGCAGAAACUUUGCUCAUUGAAAUUGAUACUUUCUCAAUUGUUAUAAUAAAUCACACAAUAAAAAACCAACAGCUUGAUUUGCAAUUUUCUAACAAACUUUAUGAAUUCAAUCCAAAAUUAUUCUUGAAAAUUUUUAAUACUGCCAUUGAAAAAUUCUAUUCACAAAUAGGCUUCACUAAAAUACUUCGAAUAGUUGAUGGAGUUACGUAUUUUGCUCAAGCCAUAGAAGGCUACAAAACGAUUUAUGAUCAAAUUAAAGACAAUUUAUCAGAUAUCCCCGAAAAAUCGUAUACACUACGUGAAAAACUUGAGAAAAUGACAUUGAUGAAAGAUUUUCCGAAACUAACAGAAACUGAAAGAUGUUGCAUAAAUGAUAUGAUGGAAAGCUUAGAACCUUAUGCAAUACUUCCGAAGCCAGAUAAAAUAGUACGAAGUGGUAAUUGGGCUGAACACUAUUUUCAUUUGGGAUGUGUUGAAAAAGAAUUUAUUGAUGAAAAAAACAAAUUUUAUUCUUUGUUCCGUACUGAAAACUGAAAAUAAAACUUAUAUUCUCAAAAUUU